This 150-nucleotide unclassified non-coding RNA is filed under the name uncultured fungus. Its description in RNAcentral is "sequence contains ITS1, 5.8S rRNA gene". Lineage: Eukaryota; Fungi. The record is from RNAcentral.
GAUGUGGAAGUCAUACGGUGGACAUGGCGAGAGUCGUGGCCACGGUGACAUAUGUGCUCCGGGAGUGUGGUUGGUAGUAGUACUGGCUGUGCGACCGGUCGGCAUAGACGCUGUAAUUGUAUUUUAUUGUAUAUUAGACAGAAAACAAGA